This 232-nucleotide long non-coding RNA is filed under the name Prunus persica (peach). RNAcentral's name for it is "long non-coding RNA (PPER_LNC003265)". The record is from RNAcentral. Lineage: Eukaryota; Viridiplantae; Streptophyta; Magnoliopsida; Rosales; Rosaceae.
UUUCUCUUCCUCUCAAAAAACCCUAACUAGCAUCCCAAUUAUUAUUAUUAUUUUUUUAAAUGAAGAAAAAAAGUCUAUUUGUAAAAAUUUGUCUAAGACAAGAAACAAAAUAUAUACCUAAUGCGAGUUUUUUUUAUUGUUAGUCAUAGAAUAUUGAAACCUUAAUCUCUAUUAAUUCUAGCUAACUCAUUGUAAGAGUAAGAACUUCUAGCCAAUAACAUAAUCACACGAG